Molecule: ribosomal RNA, 253 nt
Filed under: uncultured bacterium
Lineage: Bacteria
Description: partial 16S ribosomal RNA
Rfam family: Bacterial small subunit ribosomal RNA
Source: RNAcentral
UACGUAGGGUGCAAGCGUUGUCCGGAAUUAUUGGGCGUAAAGAGCUCGUAGGCGGUUUGUCGCGUCUGCUGUGAAAACUCGGGGCUUAACCCCGGGCCUGCAGUGGGUACGGGCAGACUAGAGUGCGGUAGGGGAGACUGGAAUUCCUGGUGUAGCGGUGAAAUGCGCAGAUAUCAGGAGGAACACCUGCGGCGAAGGCGGGUUGCUGGGCCGACACUGACGCUGAUGCGCGAAAGCCAGGGGAGCGAACGGG